CCUUGUAGCGGCGAGUGAGCGCGCAAAAGCUCAAAUUUGAAAUCUGGCUCUUUCAGAGUCCGAGUUGUAAUUUGAAGAAGGUAUCUUUGGGUCUGGCUCUGUCUAUGUUUCUUGGAACAGAACGUCACAGAGGGUGAGAAUCCCGUGCGAUGAGAUGAUCCAGGCCUAUGUAAAGUUCCUUCGAAGAGUCGAGUUGUUUGGGAAUGCAGCUCUAAGUGGGUGGUAAAUUCCAUCUAAAGCUAAAUAUUGGCGAGAGACCGAUAGCGAACAAGUACAGUGAUGGAAAGAUGAAAAGAACUUUGAAAAGAGAGUGAAAAAGUACGUGAAAUUGUUGAAAGGGAAGGGCUUGAGAUCAGACUUGGUAUUUUGUAUGUUACUUCUUCGGGGGUGGCCUCUACAGUUUAUCGGGCCAGCAUCAGUUUGGGCGGUAGGAGAAUUGCGUUGGAAUGUGGCACGGCUUCGGUUGUGUGUUAUAGCCUUCGUCGAUACUGCCAGCCUAGACUGAGGACUGCGGUUUAUACCUAG
This 525-nucleotide ribosomal RNA is filed under the name Candida tropicalis. RNAcentral describes it as "LSU rRNA". It matches the Rfam family "Eukaryotic large subunit ribosomal RNA", at positions 79 to 610 of the family's 3401-position model. The record is from RNAcentral. Lineage: Eukaryota; Fungi; Ascomycota; Pichiomycetes; Serinales; Debaryomycetaceae.